GCGUUUGAUGUGACUGAAGAUAAGAGGUGAUGCCCCUGCUGCAGAGUCUACAGACUGACAAAGAAAGAAAAAGAUGUUUAAGAGCAGAAAAGCACAAUUUGAUAUGGAUAUGAGAAAUGCAUGAUUAAAGGUCAUACAGGCUUGGAACAACAUUAAGGAGGAAUUCUGAGAUUAACCAGCUCACCAGCAGAAUUGACCGAGCAGGAAACAGGUGGAGGAAGUCUGUACACGUUCUGACCUUUGCCGUUCAACAUGUCAGUCAUCUGAAAGAAUGAGAAUCAAACAGAACUUGAAACAAUUGCUUCAUUUUUCUCAACAUUUUCCCCUUAUUGUGAUACUUCUCAUUGCAUGAACUGGAACUAUUUUAUAAAUCGGUGGAGGCAAGGAUGAUCCUCAAUGCAUACAGGAGCCAUCUGGGCAAAUUCAAAGAAAAACAAGUUGAAUUUCUCUCUCCACUGGGUAAAUGAAUUCAGAGGGGAAAUUGAAGCAGAAAUGUAGCAGCUUAUUUAGCAACCAACAACAAAUUUGUUUUUAUGAUAUCCUCACAAUUAAAAGGUUAUUAUAUAACAUA
Molecule: long non-coding RNA, 571 nt
Organism: Myxocyprinus asiaticus (Chinese sucker)
Lineage: Eukaryota; Metazoa; Chordata; Actinopteri; Cypriniformes; Catostomidae
Exons: 3
Source: RefSeq, a predicted model, not a curated record